CAUGUCGUGACCUAAUGGUCCGAGAGUCGGACUUGUAACCCGAAGGUUGUGGGUUCGAGUCUCGGGCCGGCAGGG
Pangasius djambal is the source of this 75-nucleotide non-coding RNA. NCBI's taxonomy places the organism in Eukaryota, Metazoa, Chordata, Actinopteri, Siluriformes, Pangasiidae. The record is from the annotation of a GenBank genome assembly.